UAUUAGGUUGGUGCAAAAGUGAUUGUGGUUUUGGCCAUUGAAAGUAAUAGCAAAACUUGCAACAACUGUUGCAUCGAUCUAAUAA
This 85-nucleotide microRNA precursor is filed under the name Saimiri boliviensis boliviensis (Bolivian squirrel monkey). Its description in RNAcentral is "miRNA (ENSSBOG00000020191.1)". The record is from RNAcentral. Lineage: Eukaryota; Metazoa; Chordata; Mammalia; Primates; Cebidae.